GAUGAACGCUGGCGGCGUGCCUAAUACAUGCAAGUCGAGCGAACAGACGAGGAGCUUGCUCCUCUGACGUUAGCGGCGGACGGGUGAGUAACACGUGGAUAACCUACCUAUAAGACUGGGAUAACUUCGGGAAACCGGAGCUAAUACCGGAUAAUAUAUUGAACCGCAUGGUUCAAUAGUGAAAGACGGUUUUGCUGGCACUUAUAGAUGGAUCCGCGCCGCAUUAGCUAGUUGGUAAGGUAACGGCUUACCAAGGCAACGAUGCGUAGCCGACCUAAGAGGGUGAUCGGCCACACUGGAACUGAGACACGGUCCAGACUCCUACGGGAGGCAGCAGUAGGGAAUCUUCCGCAAUGGGCGAAAGCCUGACGGAGCAACGCCGCGUGAGUGAUGAAGGUCUUCGGAUCGUAAAACUCUGUUAUUAGGGAAGAACAAAUGUGUAAGUAACUAUGCACGUCUUGACGGUACCUAAUCAGAAAGCCACGGCUAACUACGUG
RNAcentral lists this ribosomal RNA (497 nucleotides) under uncultured bacterium. Its description in RNAcentral is "partial 16S ribosomal RNA". It matches the Rfam family "Bacterial small subunit ribosomal RNA", at positions 28 to 507 of the family's 1533-position model. The record is from RNAcentral.